This 253-nucleotide ribosomal RNA is filed under the name uncultured bacterium. Its description in RNAcentral is "partial 16S ribosomal RNA". It matches the Rfam family "Bacterial small subunit ribosomal RNA", at positions 524 to 776 of the family's 1533-position model. The record is from RNAcentral.
UACGUAGGGUGCGAGCGUUAAUCGGAAUUACUGGGCGUAAAGCGUGCGCAGGCGGUUCGUUAAGUCAGCUGUGAAAGCCCCGGGCUUAACCUGGGAAUUGCGGUUGAAACUGGCGAACUAGAAUCUGGCAGAGGGGGGUGGAAUUCCACGUGUAGCAGUGAAAUGCGUAGAGAUGUGGAGGAACACCGAUGGCGAAGGCAGCCCCCUGGGCUGAGAUUGACGCUCAGGCACGAAAGCGUGGGGAGCAAACAGG